AAUGAAUUCAAGUUUUAUUUUGACUGAAGAGGGAGGGAGUUCCUGGGAAAAGUCUGCUCUCCUAGGAUGUCAACGUUGUGUGUGAGGGAUGAAAUCUGCUAGGAGAUCUGAGAGGCUCUGGCAUCGGGACAUUUUGCUGUUUAAACAGAUGUCUAAAGCUUCGUUUGUUUUAACACAGACUACAUGGGAUACACACAGGAGCAUGUGGCUGCCAAUGAAUAUGGGGCUUCUGGCCUGUCAGAUAAAACAGGUAAAUAACAAAUUCUGUAAAGUGUGUUCUUUUUUUUUUUUAAAUAGCAAAGCUGAAGUUGCUUGCUAAAUGUGAGUGAAAUUAAGAACUUAGGUGGAGUGUGCUGAAAUAAGAUUCAUUUGGUUUUACAAAACACAUGAGAUCAUCUGCAGUCAUCUAGGGAUCGUAGAGCUCAACAGUUGGAAACUACUUGGUUGGGUGUGUCCCUAAGUUUUGCAUGUGAAAAGUGAAAAAGAGUGGAAUGUAGACUGCAGUACAAGCUGUAGUCAGGGAUUUCGGAUUCUAACCAUGGUUCUGCUGGUAACCGGUUCCCUCACCUAAAUGAGGGAACUGACUUAAUUUCUCAAGGUAAGUGUUUUUUGGUGAUAAAAAUCAAGGGUUUUGCCAUAUAUCAACAUGAAUCCGCCAAUUGUAAAGUUAAAAAAUAAAAUUAAUUAAAAAAAACA
Molecule: long non-coding RNA, 696 nt
Filed under: Bos indicus x Bos taurus (hybrid cattle)
Lineage: Eukaryota; Metazoa; Chordata; Mammalia; Artiodactyla; Bovidae
Description: lncRNA (ENSBIXG00000011568.1)
Source: RNAcentral